RNAcentral lists this ribosomal RNA (253 nucleotides) under uncultured bacterium. Its description in RNAcentral is "partial 16S ribosomal RNA". It matches the Rfam family "Bacterial small subunit ribosomal RNA", at positions 524 to 776 of the family's 1533-position model. The record is from RNAcentral.
GACGAACCGUGCGAACGUUGUUCGGAAUCACUGGGCUUAAAGGGCGCGUAGGCGGGCGGUCAAGUCCGGGGUGAAAGCCCCCAGCUCAACUGGGGAAGGGCCUUGGAAACUAGCCGUCUUGAGGGAGGUAGGGGCCUGUGGAACUUCGGGUGGAGCGGUGAAAUGCGUUGAUAUCCGAAGGAACGCCGGUGGCGAAAGCGACGGGCUGGAUCUCUUCUGACGCUGAGGCGCGAAAGCUAGGGUAGCGAACGGG